GGCAGAUUGCCCGAGCGGCCAAUGGGAGCGGACUGUAAAUCCGUCGCGAAAGCUUCCCAGGUUCGAAUCCUGGAUCUGCCACCA
RNAcentral lists this transfer RNA (84 nucleotides) under Nocardioides sp. GY 10127. Its description in RNAcentral is "tRNA-Tyr". It matches the Rfam family "tRNA". From Rfam's summary of the family: Transfer RNA (tRNA) molecules are approximately 80 nucleotides in length. Lineage: Bacteria; Bacillati; Actinomycetota; Actinomycetes; Propionibacteriales; Nocardioidaceae. RNAcentral also lists the same sequence under 3 other names. The record is from RNAcentral.